This 404-nucleotide unclassified non-coding RNA is filed under the name Hevea brasiliensis (rubber tree). The record is from RNAcentral. Lineage: Eukaryota; Viridiplantae; Streptophyta; Magnoliopsida; Malpighiales; Euphorbiaceae.
GUAAGUUGAGUGGCACCUAUGAGAGUGAAAUCGUUGAGGAGAACUCAUUCAGAAGAAAGAGCUCAAAAGUGGAAAUAUGAAUUUACACAGUUAAGAUUUGAUAAUAUGGGAGCAUAAUGUCCUAUGAAAGCACUAAAUUAGUGCUGUUGUAUUAGCUAGGGUUUCUUUCUCAUGGUUAGAAGUUAGAUGACUCGAGUAUUUAAUCAGAUGCAACCUUUCCUCAAUUAAGAAGCUACAUAAGAAAUUCCUUGGAUUAUAACACAUACUUGGAAGAUAUCUAAAUUAACUUGAUCACAAGUUACAAUAUUGGGCUGUUUCUCUCUACUCAAUCAGAGAGGUUCAUAGGACACCUCCCUUAUAAGGUCCUUUCCUUUAAUGGAAUUCUCAUACCAAAUGGAUAAUGG